RNAcentral lists this ribosomal RNA (305 nucleotides) under Geobacillus stearothermophilus. RNAcentral's name for it is "partial 16S ribosomal RNA". It matches the Rfam family "Bacterial small subunit ribosomal RNA", at positions 1 to 291 of the family's 1533-position model. The record is from RNAcentral. Lineage: Bacteria; Bacillati; Bacillota; Bacilli; Caryophanales; Anoxybacillaceae.
UUCUUUGGAGAGUUUGAUCCUGGCUCAGGACGAACGCUGGCGGCGUGCCUAAUACAUGCAAGUCGAGCGGACCGGAUUGGGGCUUGCCUUGGUUCGGUCAGCGGCGGACGGGUGAGUAACACGUGGGCAACCUGCCCGCAAGACCGGGAUAACUCCGGGAAACCGGAGCUAAUACCGGAUAACACCGAAGACCGCAUGGUCUUCGGUUGAAAGGCGGCCUUUGGGCUGUCACUUGCGGAUGGGCCCGCGGCGCAUUAGCUAGUUGGUGAGGUAACGGCUCACCAAGGCGACGAUGCGUAGCCGGC